This 483-nucleotide ribosomal RNA is filed under the name uncultured bacterium. Its description in RNAcentral is "bacterial SSU rRNA". It matches the Rfam family "Bacterial small subunit ribosomal RNA", at positions 328 to 803 of the family's 1533-position model. The record is from RNAcentral.
UAGCGGAACUCCUACGGGAGGCAGCAGUGGGGAAUUUUGGACAAUGGGCGAAAGCCUGAUCCAGCAAUGCCGCGUGAGUGAAGAAGGCCUUCGGGUUGUAAAGCUCUUUUGUCAGGGAAGAAACGGUGAGGGCUAAUAUCCCUUGCUAAUGACGGUACCUGAAGAAUAAGCACCGGCUAACUACGUGCCAGCAGCCGCGGUAAUACGUAGGGUGCAAGCGUUAAUCGGAAUUACUGGGCGUAAAGCGUGCGCAGGCGGUUGUGUAAGUCAGAUGUGAAAUCCCCGGGCUCAACCUGGGAAUUGCAUUUGAGACUGCACGGCUAGAGUGUGUCAGAGGGGGGUAGAAUUCCACGUGUAGCAGUGAAAUGCGUAGAUAUGUGGAGGAAUACCGAUGGCGAAGGCAGCCCCCUGGGAUAACACUGACGCUCAUGCACGAAAGCGUGGGGAGCAAACAGGAUUAGAAACCCUAGUAGUCCACUUAUG